RNAcentral lists this microRNA precursor (52 nucleotides) under Marmota monax (woodchuck). Lineage: Eukaryota; Metazoa; Chordata; Mammalia; Rodentia; Sciuridae. The record is from RNAcentral.
UUCCUAGUAUAAGUAUGUUCCAUGGAAUAUUUGGAACAUACUAAUACAAAGA